AUUGAACGCUGGCGGAAUGCUUUACACAUGCAAGUCGAACGGCAGCACGGGGGCAACCCUGGUGGCGAGUGGCGAACGGGUGAGUAAUACAUCGGAACGUGCCCAGUCGUGGGGGAUAACGUAGCGAAAGUUACGCUAAUACCGCAUACGAUCUACGGAUGAAAGCGGGGGACCGUAAGGCCUCGCGCGAUUGGAGCGGCCGAUGUCAGAUUAGGUAGUUGGUGCGGUAAAGGCUCACCAAGCCGACGAUCUGUAGCUGGUAUGAGAGGACGACCAGCCACACUGGGACUGAGAAACGGCCCAGACUCCUACGGGAGGCAGCAGUGGGGAAUUUUGGACAAUGGGCGCAAGCCUGAUCCAGCCAUUCCGCGUGCAGGACGAAGGCCUUCGGGUUGUAAACUGCUUUUGUACGGAACGAAAAGGCUCUGGUUAAUACCUGGGGCUCAUGACGGUACCGUAAGAAUAAGCACCGGCUAACUACGUGCCAGCCGCCGCGGUAA
RNAcentral lists this ribosomal RNA (500 nucleotides) under uncultured bacterium. RNAcentral describes it as "partial 16S ribosomal RNA". It matches the Rfam family "Bacterial small subunit ribosomal RNA", at positions 30 to 523 of the family's 1533-position model. The record is from RNAcentral.